RNAcentral lists this ribosomal RNA (253 nucleotides) under uncultured bacterium. Its description in RNAcentral is "partial 16S ribosomal RNA". It matches the Rfam family "Bacterial small subunit ribosomal RNA", at positions 524 to 776 of the family's 1533-position model. The record is from RNAcentral.
UACGAAGGGGGCUAGCGUUGCUCGGAAUCACUGGGCUUAAAGCGUGUGUAGGCGGAUUGGUAAGUACCUUGUGAAAUCCCACGGCUUAACCGUGGAACUGCUUGGUAUACUGCUUAUCUUGGGCCACUUAGGGGCUACCGGAACAAACGGUGGAGCGGUGAAAUGCGUAGAUAUCGUUUGGAACGCCAAUGGUGAAAACAGGUAGCUGGGAGUGUGCCGACGCUGAGACACGAAAGCCAGGGGAGCGAACGGG